This is a non-coding RNA of Oryctolagus cuniculus (rabbit), 1293 nucleotides long. The record is from RefSeq and is a predicted model, not a curated record. NCBI's taxonomy places the organism in Eukaryota, Metazoa, Chordata, Mammalia, Lagomorpha, Leporidae.
CGCUCCUUGCUCCGGUUGCAGCGGCGGCCCGAGCGCCCGGGCUGCACACGCAGGCAGUGCCAUUCCCCCCUUCAGGCAACUCAGGGUACUAAGGAUCAGAGCGAGCUUGAAUUUAUAUAAUAAUGCCUCACGCCCAAGAGCUCUCGAGCCACUUCACAAGCAGAGGACUUAGGUUUUCUCCUGUCUUGGAGAGCGGAGGUCACUCCAGUAAGCGCAUCACUCCACUUUGCCUCGUAAUUUCAACCGCCCCUAAAAUAGCAAAGGCGCAAAUUGGACCUUUUCCCUCUUUCGUUGCCAAUUUCCAUUCUCGAACGGAAGCGGGGGCAUUUUCUGAAAAGACUGGCUCUUACGCUCUCUUCUUGCUGGAUUCCCUGCACCGAGCCCAGUGUCUGCAGGAAAGCUUCAGCCAGCAAGGUUUAUAGAAUGAAUGGAGACAUGCCUAAACACUUCAUCACCGUGAGCCCAUGUAAUCCAAGGUGAUGUGAGACCAGGAACCUGAGGCCCAGAGAGGGGGUAAAUAUAGGCAAUAGUUCAAGGCCUGGGAAAGCAGUAGAAGACGGCCCAAGUCCUUGGGCCCCUGCACCCACGUGGGAGACCUGGAAGAAACUCCUGACUCCUGGCUUCGGAUCGGUGCAGCUCCAGCCAUUGCGGCCAUCUGGGGAGGGAACCAGCGGAUGGAAGACCUCUACCUCUCUCUGUAACUCUUUCAAAUAAAUAAAAUAAAUCUUUUAAAAAAUAUAGGCGAUAGCUCACUGGAGGAUAUUUGCUUUUACAAGUCCUUCCUCCACCUCACCUCUGUCAUAUUUGAGGAACAAAGAAAUGAAUGUCUCAUGGUAGAAAUGAUAUAUUCAGGCUCCUCUCUGUGGGAGGAGCAUGGAGAUCACAUAAAGCUCAAAAGAUCCUUCCAAGGUAUAAGAGACUCUCUGCUGAGAAGCAGGGAAUUUUUCCCAUAUGUGUCCCAAGAGCCAUGUGCGCCCCUGGCCAGGCCUGGGAUUUCGCUAAGUGUUUAGGAGGCCUCCUGCAAGUUCUGGACUUGACUGUUACUCUUGGAAGCUGGCUCCUCUCAGAUGCUGAAUAACAAAGUCCCAGUGCUCCAGAAUGUGGCCUUUUGGGGAGAGAUCAGAGUUUGGGAGGAGAAAGAAGAAGAGAACUGACUGAAUUGUCAGGCCUUUGGUUUUGCAUCUCCUUAUUUCUCAGAUCAAGCUGCGUUGCUGCAUGUAUAUAUAUUUGGGUUCAAUGUUUAGAAGAUGAGCAGUGCUUCCGGUUGUCUUCACAGCGUGGUAUGAUUUUCAC